UACGAAGGGGGCUAGCGUUGCUCGGAUUGACUGGGCGUAAAAGGGCGCGUAGGCGGUUUGCAUAGUCAGACGUGAAAUUCCUGGGCUUAACCUGGGGGGCUGCGUUUGAUACAUGCAGGCUUGAGUUCGGAAGAGGGUCGUGGAAUUCCCAGUGUAGAGGUGAAAUUCGUAGAUAUUGGGGAAGAACACCGGUGGCGAAGGGCGGCGACCUGGUCCGAUACUGACGCUGAGGCGCGAAAGCGUGGGGGAGCAAACAGG
This 258-nucleotide ribosomal RNA is filed under the name uncultured bacterium. RNAcentral describes it as "partial 16S ribosomal RNA". It matches the Rfam family "Bacterial small subunit ribosomal RNA", at positions 524 to 776 of the family's 1533-position model. The record is from RNAcentral.